RNAcentral lists this ribosomal RNA (492 nucleotides) under uncultured bacterium. Its description in RNAcentral is "partial 16S ribosomal RNA". It matches the Rfam family "Bacterial small subunit ribosomal RNA", at positions 29 to 507 of the family's 1533-position model. The record is from RNAcentral.
AGUGAACGCUGGCGGUAGGCCUAACACAUGCAAGUCGAACGGCAGCACAGUAAGAGCUUGCUCUUACGGGUGGCGAGUGGCGGACGGGUGAGGAAUACAUCGGAAUCUACUUUUUCGUGGGGGAUAACGUAGGGAAACUUACGCUAAUACCGCAUACGACCUACGGGUGAAAGCAGGGGAUCUUCGGACCUUGCGCGAUUGAAUGAGCUGAUGUCGGAUUAGCUAGUUGGCGGGGUAAAGGCCCACCAAGGCGACGAUCCGUAGCUGGUCUGAGAGGAUGAUCAGCCACACUGGAACUGAGACACGGUCCAGACUCCUACGGGAGGCAGCAGUGGGGAAUAUUGGACAAUGGGCGCAAGCCUGAUCCAGCCAUACCGCGUGGGUGAAGAAGGCCUUCGGGUUGUAAAGCCCUGUUGUUGGGAAAGAAAAGCAGCAGGUUAAUACCCCGCUGUUCUGACGGUACCCAAAGAAUAAGCACCGGCUAACUUCGUG